UACGUAGGGGGCGAGCGUUGUCCGGAUUUAUUGGGCGUAAAGAGCGUGUAGGCGGUCAGGUAGGUCUGCUGUGAAAACUCGAGGCUCAACCUCGAGACGUCGGCGGAAACCAUCAGGCUAGAGUCCGGAAGAGGAGAGUGGAAUUCCCGGUGUAGCGGUGAAAUGCGCAGAUAUCGGGAAGAACACCCGUGGCUAAGGCGGCUCUCUAGUACGGUACUGACGCUGAGACGCGAAAGCGUGGGGAGCGAACAGG
Molecule: ribosomal RNA, 253 nt
Filed under: uncultured bacterium
Lineage: Bacteria
Description: partial 16S ribosomal RNA
Rfam family: Bacterial small subunit ribosomal RNA
Source: RNAcentral